Molecule: ribosomal RNA, 835 nt
Filed under: Rhodotorula sp.
Lineage: Eukaryota; Fungi; Basidiomycota; Microbotryomycetes; Sporidiobolales; Sporidiobolaceae
Description: partial large subunit ribosomal RNA
Rfam family: Eukaryotic large subunit ribosomal RNA
Source: RNAcentral
UUCCCCUAGUAGCGGCGAGCGAAGCGGGAAGAGCUCAAAUUUAUAAUCUGGCACUUUCGGUGUCCGAGUUGUAAUCUCUAGAAAUGUUUUCCGCGUUGGACCGCACACAAGUCUGUUGGAAUACAGCGGCAUAGUGGUGAGACCCCCGUAUAUGGUGCGGACGCCCAGCGCUUUGUGAUACAUUUUCGAAGAGUCGAGUUGUUUGGGAAUGCAGCUCAAAUUGGGUGGUAAAUUCCAUCUAAAGCUAAAUAUUGGCGAGAGACCGAUAGCGAACAAGUACCGUGAGGGAAAGAUGAAAAGCACUUUGGAAAGAGAGUUAACAGUACGUGAAAUUGUUGGAAGGGAAACGCUUGAAGUCAGACUUGCUUGCCGAGCAAUCGGUUUGCAGGCCAGCAUCAGUUUUCCGGGAUGGAUAAUGGUAGAGAGAAGGUAGCAGUUUCGGCUGUGUUAUAGCUCUCUGCUGGAUACAUCUUGGGGGACUGAGGAACGCAGUGUGCCUUUUGGCGGGGGUUUCGACCUCUUCACACUUAGGAUGCUGGUGGAAUGGCUUUAAACGACCCGUCUUGAAACACGGACCAAGGAGUCUAACAUGCUUGCGAGUAUUUGGGUGUCAAACCCGGAUGCGUAAUGAAAGUGAAUGGAGGUGGGAACCGCAAGGUGCACCAUCGACCGAUCUGGAUUUUUAAUGAUGGAUUUGAGUAAGAGCACGUAUGUUGGGACCCGAAAGAUGGUGAACUAUGCCUGAAUAGGGCGAAGCCAGAGGAAACUCUGGUGGAGGCUCGUAGCGGUUCUGACGUGCAAAUCGAUCGUCAAAUUUGGGUAUAGGGGCGAAAGA